UGGGAUUAACAGCUCCUACUCUCUGACAGA
Molecule: non-coding RNA, 30 nt
Filed under: Mus musculus (house mouse)
Lineage: Eukaryota; Metazoa; Chordata; Mammalia; Rodentia; Muridae
Source: RNAcentral